UGACAGUACUCCUACGGGGAGGCAGCAGUGGGGGAAUAUUGCACAAUGGGCGCAAGCCUGAUGCAGCCAUGCCGCGUGUGUGAAGAAGGCCUUCGGGGUUGUAAAGCACUUUCAGUCGUGAGGAAGGUAGUGUAGUUAAUAGCUGCAUUAUUUGACGUUAGCGACAGAAGAAGCACCGGCUAACUCCGUGCCAGCAGCCGCGGUAAUACGGAGGGUGCGAGCGUUAAUCGGAAUUACUGGGCGUAAAGCGCAUGCAGGUGGUUUGUUAAGUCAGAUGUGAAAGCCCGGGGCUCAACCUCGGAAUAGCAUUUGAAACUGGCAGACUAGAGUACUGUAGAGGGGGGUAGGAAUUUCAGGUGUAGCGGUGAAAUGCGUAGAGAUCUGAAGGAAUACCGGUGGCGAAGGCGGCCCCCUGGACAGAUACUGACACUCAGAUGCGAAAGCGUGGGGAGCAAACAGGAUUAGAUACCCUGGUAG
Molecule: ribosomal RNA, 477 nt
Filed under: uncultured bacterium
Lineage: Bacteria
Description: bacterial SSU rRNA
Rfam family: Bacterial small subunit ribosomal RNA
Source: RNAcentral